CCUACGGGCGGCAGCAGUGAGGAAUAUUGGUCAAUGGGCGGGAGCCUGAACCAGCCAAGUCGCGUGAGGGAAGACGGUCCUAUGGAUUGUAAACCUCUUUUGUCGGGGAGCAAUGCCGUGCACGUGUGCCCGGAUGGAGAGUACCCGCAGAAUAACCAUCGGCUAACUCCGUGCCAUCAGCCGCGUUAAUACGGAGGAUGCGAGCGUUAGCCGGAUUUAUUGGGUUUAAGGGGUACGUAGGAGGAUUUUUAAGUCAGGGGUAAAAUGUGCGGGAUCAACCCGAGCCUGCCGUUGAAACUGGGGAUCUUGAGUGUGCGAGAGGUAUGCGGAAUGCGUGGUGUAGCGGUGAAAUGCAUAGAUAUCACGCAGAACUCCGAUUGCGAAGGCAGCAUACCGGCGCCCGACUGACGCUGAGGCACGAAAGCGUGGGGAUCGAACAGGAUUAGAUACCCGGGUAGUC
RNAcentral lists this ribosomal RNA (460 nucleotides) under uncultured bacterium. RNAcentral's name for it is "partial 16S ribosomal RNA". It matches the Rfam family "Bacterial small subunit ribosomal RNA", at positions 338 to 795 of the family's 1533-position model. The record is from RNAcentral.